Molecule: long non-coding RNA, 3267 nt
Organism: Salvelinus sp. IW2-2015
Lineage: Eukaryota; Metazoa; Chordata; Actinopteri; Salmoniformes; Salmonidae
Source: RefSeq, a predicted model, not a curated record
AUAAGAAACAAAAAAAGGGCUGUAAACUGUUGUUACAUGUGCUGACAUGAUUAAAAGGGAAGUAAACCGUACCUUCCAUGUUGUAGUUUAUAUUAUACGCUCAUAGAAAGGGUAACAAAUUUGGAGGCACCGCUGAGAUGUAUUUUCAUGUGAGCACCGGCCCAUAUUCCUGGAACGAACAACGAGCGAGAGACAUUGGGAGAGUAGCUAGCUAGCUAACGUUAUCAGGCUAACCACCAAACAGAUUGUAGCUAUCUUGCCAUUGCCUGCAUUGUCGUUGUUGCCACGUUAGUAGGACAAUAUGAGUCGAGAGAGGGAAACGUUGUUGGAUGAAAUCGAGCAGAGUUUAUGGACUUUAACUGAUGACAAUUUAUGGCACAUGUGUGUAACGUUACGUUGUGGAAUAGGAGGUGUAGAUGACUGAAGUAAAAGGAAAGAGCCAUCGCGCUUUGCGGCGCAAAUUGAUGGAAGAUUACUGUGAGAAGGAGGAUUUAAUGGAAUCAGAGGAUGAGGGAAUGUCUUGGCUGAUUCAACUGAAAGACGAAAUCAAAGGAAUAUCGGACUCUGAGGAUAAUGUGAAAAGUCUGCCUACAAGUCCCAGCCAGUCGGCGCCAAUGAUGCAAGUGGACAGCGGAGAGAUGGGAGCUGCAGCAGAACGAAAAGAAGAGGGAGGGGCUCCUCAGCCCAGCAGAGAAGUGGUCUCAGCUCCAGAAAGGCAUCCGCCACAGAGAGAAUGGAUUGCUAGGUACCAGUAAGUAGGAACAGCUGAAGAGAGGGCUGCAGAAAUAAAAAUACGAUUGUUUAGAAGAGGUGGACAUUGGAGGAUGAGAUGAGAACCUUCAGCAAGAAGAAAGCAGAUACUGCUCUGUGGCCACUCCUUCAACACCACUGCCAACCACAAAAUGGACAAACACUGCAAACGGCUACUGCUGGACCCAUGGCUUGAGGCAAACUCUGUCAUAUCCAGGAUGAAGUGUCAUGCCCUCCACCCCUCCUGCCACCUGACUGCACCUGUACGUACACGACAGAACCUCACCCAGAGACCUGUGAUUGUCAGUAUGUGGUUAGACAGCCAAAUCCUUAGAAAAUACCAUAGAAAUAGAAUUGAAUGCCAUGCUAUUUCUGGGACAGCUGAAGAACAAGGAGCAUACAAAUCUAUCUGUUGUUCUCCUCUACACACAACUUAUUUGUAUUUUUGCUAGGUAGAGUGUAGGCAUACUGUCUUUAUAAGCACAUCAAUAUUACAGCAGAAAAUGUUUUGUCUUUACAUGAAAUUAUAAAACUUCAAGUUGCAAGCUACUUUCAUAGCAAGGUGUUGUAGAACGAGUGUCUCAUGAAACACAUUGCAGACAAUGGUAAAACAUGUGUAUACUUUAAAUGCAUACAUUCAACAGCUGAUGAUACCAAAAUGAACAAAUGGCCUGGAAAUCACGCAUUAGAUGCCUUCACAGUAUGAAUAAUAAUUAGUAUGUUGAUUUUCAUUGCUUACUGCAUAUGCUUUUACUGAACAGUACGUUCUAAAUAAUAUGUAGUACGAUUAGUACACAGAAGUAUGUACUUUUAGUAAGUAGUAGGCAAUACAGAUAUUGGACACGGACCAUGCCUCGGGAUUUAAUGAAUGUGAAAUGUCAUAUGAAUAUAAAUAUAUUCUUUCCCAGCACUGUCUCUAAGUAGGUUGGUAUACAAUGAGUCUUAAAUCUGGUCACACCCUAAAAAGUCACACCCUCGAAUAUAAACGUACUCUCUAAAACUUGUUGUGUUUGCACCUAGCAAGUACAACGGAAAUGCACAGACAUUACAUCCAUAUAAACAGUCCUUAUUAGUCAAGAAGGCUCUGAUAGUAACAAUUAGACAUGUUGAGUCAGGCAUCACUGUCAGGGUUGUACAGGUUCACAAGUGAUACUCACAUGUUGAAAGAAACUCGCCCAAAUUGCUUAUCUAAAUAUUUUGGGUAACACUUUGUGAAUGUUAAAGGUGCCAUAACAACCUAAUAUUUAAAAAUAAUUCAAACGAUACCAGAAUAAGUAAUUUUUUUAUUACAGUAUUUAGCAGCAGUAUUGUUGCUGGUGUUGCUGACAGGAUUAGUCCUGUGCACCACAAGGCUGUAUUAGACUCUGCUGAGCUAAAGCCAAGGCAUAAGCUUCUGGCUCAAUGGGUGUUAGGCCGGGUAUCUGUAAAGCACCUCCUGAUCACCUCUGAUGUAAAAAGGGCUUUAUAAAAGAAACAAUUGCUCUGACCUGAGUUCAAAUAGUAUUGAGCCUGUCUGGAGUGGAGUGCCAGAAAGAUGUGGUUUGCUCUUUUGGGACUAUUACAGUGGUCCCAUUGUGCCAGGCAAGCUCAAUCAUCGACCACAGCUAGUUAGAGUAUUUAGAAUAUACUAUUUAUCCAGGUCUGGUUCCAACCCCUUCUGCCACUGUGUCCUUGAGCAAGGCACAUAAACCCCUGAACUGCUACCUGGGUACUGCUCUGAGGCUUACCUGAUGCUCCCAGACUGUUGCGUGAAUAGUAUGUCAGAGGGUUGGGUACUGUGACAGGUGGAAUACACAUUUUAGUUGUACUGAUAAACAAGGCAACAUUAAACAUGUCCUCCAACUAAUAAAUGUAAGAUAUUGUGUGUGACCGCAUUUUAUCCAAUAUAUUGACCAGAUACUCAAGUGGUCGCUCUAACAAUGAAAAUACAUGUGUUCAAAAUAGAAGGCAGUUAGCCUGGGUACCAGUCCAGGGCUUGACAUUCAGGUAAUUUCACUUGUGAGUGAUUUUCAUGUGUCAUUUGCAUAAUAAAAUCACAUAAUAAAAUCAUGGGAUUUUUACAGUGUUUAUAAAUACAGGGUAAUUGUGUGAAUUUUACAGAGAGUAGAGGCCUAAUGUUUAUGAAUUAAAAUGGCCAACGUGCUUCCCGUGGAUACUUUUUUAUUGUCAUGCCAGAUACUCAAGGUUGUGACCUGGUCCGUGUACAUCUUAGACAAUGGUGUUCUGAUGUAAAACGGAAACGUCAGCAACGUGAAAAAGGCACGUUUUUCUUUCCUUUUCAAAUUUUUAUUUUAUUUUUUACAUAAAACACAUUGGUUGUUGUUAUCUCGCUUUUUGCAGAUGAACAAAAAAGUCGAGAUUCUCGAGAUGCAGCAGUGUGUAUGAAGACUCUCCGGUGACAGUGUCCGAGGGGUUGGCUGAGAGAGUUUUUAAGGUGACUGUGGAGAGGGCCAGAGCGGGGAGCAACCCUUAUASUGCAUYRACACAGCCAUGGAGCUAURGAGAACACUCCCUGUG